Molecule: non-coding RNA, 388 nt
Organism: Nitrospirae bacterium GWA2_42_11
Lineage: Bacteria; Pseudomonadati; Nitrospirota
Source: Rfam
AAAAGUAUACAGGUUUUACAGUAGGAUAUUCAUCGAUUGUAUGUUAAAGAAUGAUAGCCAUAAGUUACCGUUACCGCAGGGGUCGUAGUGGCCUCUGCGGUUUUUUUAUUUCUAGAAGAAAAGGAGGUUGAAGCAAUGCCUAAAGGUCGCGUCAAAUGGUUCAAUGACAAAAAAGGCUUUGGUUUCAUUGAACAGGAAAAUGGCGAAGAUGUGUUUGUACAUUUCUCCGCUAUCCAAGGCGAUGGAUUCAAGUCCCUCGGCGAAGGCCAGGAAGUUGAAUUCGAAAUUGAAAAUGGCCCCAAGGGUGCCCAUGCAAAAAAUGUCGUUAAGGCAUAAGUCCGAACACUAAUUAGGCGCCCCGUCUGCAAUUUAUGGCGGGGCGUUUAAU